UUGGCAAGGAAGGGAACAGAACAGCAGGAAUAUCCAUGCUAUGAAUGAAUGCCCAGGCAGGCCUAGCAGCCGCACCAUGAAUGCUUCUGCCUGCUUGCUGUAGAAACAUGGCCCAGCAUAUAUGCGAAAUGGAAUUAGGAGGGACACAUAGCAGUUAUUAGUGAUGAAAACGGAUCGAAUACGGACGGAUAUCAUCGAUAUCAUAUUUGUUUUCAUAUUUUUAGUCGAAUUCGGAUUCGAAUACGGAUAAUAUCAAAAAUGUCGGAUAAGAUAUGAUUGGAUAUCGACAUCAUAAAUAUACGAUUUAAGUAUUUGGAUACGGAUACGGUAUCGGAUGUUAAACAUUCGGACUCGGAUACGGAUAGAUCUGAACCUCUCUAAACGAAUUCGGUCUCGAAUACGGUCGGAAAAUAUUCGUACCGUUUUCAUCCCUAGCAGUAAUAGUGGAAAUCUUAUCAUUUCACAUCAGAUGGAUGCACAUCCUACUUCUGAUCUAUGCAUUGCAUACUCAUUUUUUUAUGGAAAUUGCAUACUUCAUUGUAAAAGUGGCGAAUUACAAUCAAGCAAUAACUAGAAACAAGAAUCAGGAACUAACUACAUCAUAGCCAAGUGGAAACAGAGGAAGAGAGGCCAAACCAGGUAAAUCACAAUCAACCAACACAUCCUUGAAACAAGAACCAGGAACUAACUACAUGCAGGGGGGAAAAGAAAUAAAGAAAGGUUACUCACAAGACAGAGGAGGUAGGUUGUGAUUUCACCUGCAAAAUUGAGUAAACAGAGGCAGGCAACUGGAUUUUGUAGAAUCCAAGCAAGACAAGAGGCCCAGCUCCAAAUUCAGGA
RNAcentral lists this long non-coding RNA (840 nucleotides) under Sorghum bicolor (sorghum). RNAcentral's name for it is "long non-coding RNA (SBIC_LNC018669)". Lineage: Eukaryota; Viridiplantae; Streptophyta; Magnoliopsida; Poales; Poaceae. The record is from RNAcentral.